RNAcentral lists this long non-coding RNA (382 nucleotides) under Gossypium barbadense (sea-island cotton). Its description in RNAcentral is "long non-coding RNA (GBAR_LNC021036)". Lineage: Eukaryota; Viridiplantae; Streptophyta; Magnoliopsida; Malvales; Malvaceae. The record is from RNAcentral.
CCGCAUCCCCGAUCGUACCUGCACAACAAGAAAAGAAACAAGACAGAAUAUGACAAGAAAAUCUUUGAAAUCACGAAUCAAGCAAGAUACUAGAAGAUUUCUUUUUUACCUUUCUUGUUUCAUGAUUACUAUAGAAGCAAACUCAAAACAUUGUAAAAAGGGGGGGAGAGAACAUAUAUGAAAUAAAGAAAAUAGAAUCAAGGAUUAAAAGGUGAAUCGCAUCUGUUAUGAUCUAUUUUCUAUUUUUGUUUCAUUUAUUUUCUAUUUUUUUAUUUACAAACAACAACAGAAAAGGAGAGAAGGAAAAUAUUGUAUUGAAGGAUAUUAAAACUCACCAAAAAAUCAGAAUACGAUUUUGGGAAGGUUUUUUUUCAUUUUUCAA